CACACACACUGACACAUCUGGGCAAAGAGAUAAAAUAAAUUAUUUUUCGGAAAUAACUAACUUAUGGAGAACAAUGAAUAAAAAUUAUUCAAAAGUGUGAGAAGCUCGAAAAAUAUUCCCGGAUGCUCACCAGCAGAGUGGCUGUAAUAAGAAUUUCAAAUUUAAAAAAAUCCCCCAAAUAGAAAAGAGUAGACUGAGUGAGAAGACACUGAGAGAGGAUGAGGAUGGGCAUCGUACAGACACACAUAUUUGGGGCAAGCAGAGCUUUUUUUUUUAGCUCCUAGCCAGGAUUGCAGUAGUUGGUUUGAGAUGCAGAUAAGCGAACUCAAUGAAGAUUCAAGCCCAUCUCCGGCUCUGUCUCUUAUGCAUGUUAAACAAAACAAUCAAGACACACAAUAUCCAAGUCCUACUCCCGCCUCUGCCUGCCAAGUCCCCAAUGCGGAAUGAAGUCGGGACGUGGCCAAUACGAGUGUCUGUGUGGUUAGUCAAUAAAAAUGCUGCCCAAAUGGAAUUAACACGCACUCGACCAGAUCACCAGCUGCAGCAAACGAAUCUCAGGUUUUUUCGUUUGCUUUGCCUCGGCUCUGCUCUGCUUUACUUUUUGUAGUUUCCGUUUUGUCGUUUUCCGUUUUUACUGCCUGCUGUUGCGCUGCGGCAAACAAUUUCAAUUUAAAUUGCCAGCUUUGCUUACCUUUUUGCCGUGCUCUGGGCACACUUAUCAGUGUCAAUAAAAGUCCAAGGGGAACGCUUCUGCCAAAGGAAGCAGCCCCAAAUGGAGAGACAGAAGACGCAAGAAGCAGAGGCAGCUGUGACGCAUGCAGCUGAAAAAAGUGCAAGUCGGAGCGGAGAGAGGAGUACGAGUAGAUAAUGGCCUGGAAUAGGCACGGGAGCGAGCUGCUGCCCACAUGAAUGCUGCUCCAACUUGGGCUUAAAGUGACCGAGCGGAAUGUGAAGCGGCUGGUUGGAAAAGUUGAUUAUGACAGAAACAAUGCAGGCGAAAGAGUAUGACUGCUAUAAAUGAUUUGCUGGAACAAAUUCUAGUGACUGAAUUUAGUGAAUUGUGACACUGAAUGUUUAUUUGUGACUUUUAAUGACUAUUCCCAAUUCAUGGCUCUGAGUGGUUAGAGAAUAUAUGAAAAUAGUUCAUAAUGAAAUGGGGUAAAAUU
This is a long non-coding RNA of Drosophila obscura, 1166 nucleotides long. RefSeq lists it as uncharacterized. The record is from RefSeq and is a predicted model, not a curated record. The transcript is spliced from 3 exons. Lineage: Eukaryota; Metazoa; Arthropoda; Insecta; Diptera; Drosophilidae.